RNAcentral lists this small nuclear RNA (107 nucleotides) under Dasypus novemcinctus (nine-banded armadillo). Lineage: Eukaryota; Metazoa; Chordata; Mammalia; Cingulata; Dasypodidae. The record is from RNAcentral.
GUCCUCACUUCAGCAGCACAUAAACUAAAAUUGGAAUGAUACAGAGAAGAUUAGCAUGCCUCCUGCACAAGGAUGACACACAAAUUCGUGAAAAGUUCCAUAUUAAA